AUCAGGCACCCACCUGGAGAACGAGGGAAUUUAUUUCAAGUUUUAAGUCAGCAUCAGGCGCCCACCUGGAGAAUGAGGGAAUUUGUUUCAAUUUUCAAGUCAUUAGCAGGCGCCCGCCUGGAGAACGAGGGAAUUCAUUUCAAAUUUCAAGUCAGUUGCUGGCGCCCACCUGAAGAAUGAGGGAAGUCAUUUCAGAAUUCAAUUCAAGUUAGAAGUAGCAGAAGCUCGCCUCAAGAAUGCAAAUUGACAAUCCGAGAUAACCAAAGGAAGAAGUCUCAAUCCAGAAUUAAAAAAAAAGAAAAGAAGAGAAGUGAAUCCAAAAUGCAGAAGCCGAUGAAAGAUGUGAACUGCUCAAGACAUGGCUGAAGUCACAAGCUUUGCAUGUCCCGUCUUGAUCUGAAAAGCUGAAGAAGAAAGAACUAGAACAUGCAGCUAGCAAGCAUCAAGGUUCAAAUCAAAAGUCCGCAUGAAGAACCAUUCAAGACUCAAGAUCAAGCUUCAGAAGACUCAUAGAUAGGAAUCUUGUAACUCAUAGCUGAUAGGCUUAGUUAGUUUUUUUUUCAUUUUGACUUUGGUGUAAUAGGGAGCUCAACAAGCAGUAAACAAUAGCAACAACAGUGAAAUCACAGCUUCUCGGUAGUCCCAACUACCUAAACUUCCAGAACUACACUGACUUGAUUUCUUUAUAGCCAAGGAUAUGUAGGCAACCUGCGAAGCAGUGUUCGGUCAAACUUUUCAAAAAAAAACGCUUCCCAUGGAGUAUCCAAACUGGCAAAAAUUGCUCGUAAUUGCUCACUUUAUCUUUGCCCGAAAACUCUUCAUAUUUCCGGGCAAAGAGGGACAGCUGUGAGCACCUAAUUUUUGCCCUAAUAUAAAAUUACUCCUAAAAAAUUCAAAAAAUAGCUUUAAAUUAUUUUUCUAUAUUUGUACUUAGUUUUCUUUGCACGUAUUCAUGUUUGAUGCAUUUUUAAGUUGCAUUUUAAAUCAUAAAGAAAAUACAAAAAUAUUUUUAAUUUUUACAUUUUUUAGAUUUUAAUUGCAUAAUUAAUUUCAUUUGUAAAAUACUAAAAUACCCCAAAAAUAUACAUUAGUAACUCUACAUGCAUUAGUUAGCUAAAUAAAUUAGUUAAUUGUAGAAAAAUAGGUCAUUAGGUUAAUUUUACAAAUUAGUUGGAAUUAGGAGUGUUAAAUAAAUUGAUUAGUCUUGCAAAAUACAAAGAAAGAAAAGAGAAGGCUAUAGGGUCUCAUUACAGCUUUGGGCCAGGUGCGUCUAGUGGCCCAUUUUCCUUCCAUUCGCCCAAGCCCGCUACCCGCCGGCCUAAUAUCCCCCUUCAUCCUUAAAAUAGACCCUAAUUUGCCCCCUCUCUCGGGAACCACAACAGAGAAUGGGCGCACUCCCCCCACUUCCUUCGUUCCCAUGAAGAAGAGAUCAGAUUCCCCCCUUACACAUAAAAAACCCUAGCCGUCUGUCAUACCUCUUUUUUCCCGCAAGGAGAUAUGGGGUUAGGGGAGUUUUUCCAAUUAGAGUGGACAAUAUUCAAAAAGGGAUUAUUUAUUUAAUCAGAGUCGCCACUUGGAAUAAUUUAUGGUGUCCCAAGUCACCGGUUUAUUUUAAAUCCCAAAUCGAGGAAAUUUGACUCUAUUAUGGUCUGCGAACACAGAAAGACCGGGUAAGGAAUUCUGUUAACCCGGGAAAAGGUGUGAGGCACUCCCGAAUUUCGUAGUUUUAGUACGGUCGCUCAACUAUUAAUAAUUGACAUAAUUAUAUGAUUAAUACAUAUUUAUAACCUAUUGUGCAUUUUAGCUUUUUAACCGCUUUUAAUUAUUUAUGAAAAUUAUUUGAACAAGUCGCGAUGUCGCACACUUGUUUGUUUUUGUACACAUUGCGAAUCACGCCACGUGAAAUAUACCUGUGAUUUACAACAUGUUAAUUUCUAUUAUUAUUCGAAGUUCUGAUCGGGUCACAUGAAAUGCACACCCGAAUUCGGAUUACGUAUCAUGACUAUGCCACGGGAACCGUACACAUAGUCACGAUAUUUAUUAUUAAUCGCGCCUAAAGCAAGCUACGAAUGUAUACUAAUUCGAGUCAUAAACCUUUCUUUAAUACUGCCUUUGGCUCGUCUCGACUCAUGGCUUAUUAAUGAAAUAAACAAUGGAUUUUUCUAGAACCCAUCUCCUAUUCUUUUGUUCUUUUCACUUAUGUCUCAACCAAUUAAUUUUAUUUACACGUCAAUAACUGAAAGUUUGUCGUCAGUCCUACAAAUGUAAACAUUGUCUCAAAAGGCUAUCACAAUGUAUCCAAUACGUAAAAAAAAAAAUUCUAAAAGAAGUGGAAAACAGAAGAUUCUAUGAACUUGAAAAAGACAGUUGAGACAAUUCAACUAGCAAGCACAAUAAGCUUAGAAAAAUAAUGCAUUUCGUCCAUCCUGGUGUCACUCAAAUCAGAUCCAACCUUUAACUAUAUUAAUAAGUUCGCUUCAAUGAUUAAGGGUGGCAAGACAUAGAAUACAGCAUUUUGUAAAACCCAUUUGCAACUCAUAUUAGGACUUAUGUUAGGCACAUGAAAAUUAUCAGUUUAUACUAAAUUACUAACAGUGAUUCAAAUUCUGGACUACUUAUGCAGGCCACUAGAUUGGUAUUAUUCAUUUCCAUAGAAGCUACUGAGAUCUACAACAUACUCCAAAAAAAAAAAACUAAUUUCAUCAAGCACAUAACAUCAAUUUGCAAACUACGUGAUUCAAAAAUAAAACUCCCUGACAGAGUAUUGGAAUGAAAACAUUUCAUAGCACUAGAACAUCCAGAAGUAAUCAUUUUAUUUUUUAAAACUGCAAACAUACCUUAGACAACAAAAUACCACUCAAAAUUAGCCAAAUGAAGCUGGAAUGGAAGGCUAAGGCUCGAAGUGGUCAACAGAAUACUCAACAGCAGUAAACAUCAGUGAUUUGAGGCCAAAUUGAUCUCUUAGAACCCCAGAAAGUAGGAAGCAAACCAAACCAGUAGAAACUCCUUCGAAAUCUCUUUUAAAUCCCAAUUUUCUGUCUUUUAGAACUUUUCUUUCAUCUCAGAUCUCAGCUAGAAUUUUGAACUCCAAGCUUUUACUCGCAGCUUUUUGAAUGUGAAGAACGUUUGAUUCAUGUGUGAAGUUUGUAUCUAUGAAUGUGUUUGUGUGUGCAUUGGGUGAGCGCAGAGGAGUGAGAGUGACUGAGAUCAGAGAAGGGAGGUCUGGCGGCUAGGAUUUUGUUUGAGGGAAGGGGUCUGUCCGUAUUCUAUCUCUGAUCUUUUGAAUCCCCGGGGAGAGUGAAAUUAGGGUAUCCUCUAAUAGAGUGGGGGAGAAGAGUAUGGGC
RNAcentral lists this long non-coding RNA (3344 nucleotides) under Nicotiana tabacum (common tobacco). RNAcentral's name for it is "long non-coding RNA (NTAB_LNC007465)". Lineage: Eukaryota; Viridiplantae; Streptophyta; Magnoliopsida; Solanales; Solanaceae. The record is from RNAcentral.